RNAcentral lists this ribosomal RNA (396 nucleotides) under Cercozoa sp. RNAcentral describes it as "partial small subunit ribosomal RNA". It matches the Rfam family "Eukaryotic small subunit ribosomal RNA", at positions 582 to 975 of the family's 1831-position model. The record is from RNAcentral. Lineage: Eukaryota; Cercozoa.
AUUCCAGCUCCAGUAGCGUAUAUUAAAGUUGUUGCAGUUAAAAAGCUCGUAGUUGGAUUUCUGACUUCAGAUACCUGACCCUCCCUCGCUAGAGGUGUGUGUGCCGGAGUAUUUGUAUCAUCCUUUCAGUGAUCGGCUCUACCCUUAACCGGGUCGGAGCUGCUAGCUGGAUCUUUUACUUUGAAGAAAUUGGAGUGUUUAAAGCAGGCUUACGCCAGAACAUAUUAGCAUGGAAUAAUAAUUUAGGACUUUUGUUCUAUUUUGUUGGUUUCUAGGACGAAAGUAAUGAUGGAUAGGGAUAGUUGGGGGUGCUAGUAUUCGGCGGCCAGAGGUGAAAUUCUUUGAUCCGCUGAAGACUAACUUAUGCGAAAGCAUUCACCAAGGAUGUCUUCAUUG